This 1068-nucleotide ribosomal RNA is filed under the name Trisetacus bioti. RNAcentral's name for it is "partial 28S ribosomal RNA". It matches the Rfam family "Eukaryotic large subunit ribosomal RNA", at positions 56 to 631 of the family's 3401-position model. The record is from RNAcentral. Lineage: Eukaryota; Metazoa; Arthropoda; Arachnida; Trombidiformes; Phytoptidae.
GAAAAGAAAGCAAAAGCGAUUCCCAAAGUAACGGCGAGUGAACAGGGAUAAGCCUAGCGCUAAGGAUUAAUGUGAUUUUAUUGUUGGUUGGAGCAAUCUGGCUAAUAGUAAAGUCAAUCAAAAACAUUAAUCGGUGCAGCGUUACAAACUCUAGUGACUAGUAAUAUUAAUGGCAUAUUUUCAGCAAUGAAUGAUAUGUCUUUUUUAGCCUAGGAUAUAAGUCCCAUUGACUUGGGCUUAUCAAUUAAUUGAGAUGACUAUAAUAUUGGGGCAACUUGGUAUUAUGGUUGAGCCAUAGAGGGUGAAAGUCCCUUAUUGUCCAGGUAUUGAUAUUACGAACUAGAGAUGUCCCUUAAAAAAGGACAAUUUUGUUAGAGUCGGGUUGCUUGAGAGUGCAACCUAAAGAGCGAGGUAAACUGCUCGUAAGGCUAUUGAUUAAUAAUGCUAUGACACCGAUAGCAAACAAGUACCGUGAGGGAAAGUUGCAAAGUACUUUGAAGAGAGAGUUAAAUAGGGCGUGAAACCGCUAGCUGGUAAACGAGUGGAGCCACGAAGUCGUUUCGUAGAAUAAGGACGACAAACUCAGGAGGGGUUAAAUCUUAACUGGUUUAGCUUUUUCGCAUUUUUGUUUCGUCCUCUAUGUAUACGUACACUGCAACCAAUUAGACGAUUAAUUGUGGAAAUAGUUAACUAAUAAAAAUAGAAAUAUUAUUAUUUGUUAGCGACAAUAUUUAUAUACUAUCUAUAGGUAGCUUGAUUUUAUUAGUAAAAUAAUAAAAUUAAGUGUCUGAUGGGUAUGUGUGAGAGCUACAAUUGAAUACUGAUUGGCAAAAUGAAAAUCCAUUCGUAAGAAUGGUUUAAGAUAAUAUUAAUUCUGCAGUAUUAUAGUAUACAAGUGUUUGGUAUUGGCUAAAGCUCGUUAGUUUUAAAUUUAGACAUGUAAACUAUUCGUCGGUUUCGGCUGCGGAUGCUUAUUUUGCUUCUAUCUAAUUGGCUAGCGACUUUGUUAGUAUUUUUAUACUUGUUAUGAUAUAUUAUAAUAUUAGUGAAUUAAUUAUUUAUUAGCAG